Molecule: unclassified non-coding RNA, 819 nt
Filed under: Limulus polyphemus (Atlantic horseshoe crab)
Lineage: Eukaryota; Metazoa; Arthropoda; Merostomata; Xiphosura; Limulidae
Description: leukocyte elastase inhibitor A-like, transcript variant X3
Source: RNAcentral
GUUUGUAAAAACAAGAAAAAACCCUUAAAGGGGAUAGCGCGAACGCAGUCCCCCACUACCAAAAAUUACACGUUCCAUCUGCCCCAGUUUGGGGUAGUGGCAGGGGUCAACUCAAUCAGAGUGCAAUGAAUGAGCCUUUCCCUGGGGAAGCCACCUUCUUGAUCAUGGCAUUCCCAACGCCAAAAUGAUCCUACAAGAAACACUUGAUUGCUGGUUUUUACGUGAGUGCCAAGUUUAACUAGAUUAUGAGACAUGUAAAUGUCUUCCACAUGUGCAGUACGGGAAGUAUGGCAUUACCUUGGCACCCAAAUGAUGCUGACUCAGUGGGGGUUCGCCAGGUGAGUAGAAGGAUGUGCCUAAGGAUUACAUAACUAUUACGUGAUAUUCAAAUUAUUCCGACACCUGAAGGUUACUAGAAACAUGGUAUGAUGAGCGUGAAAAUAGUUUGCGAGAAAGCCACCAGAGAGUGAUUUAAAUCAACGUGUCUCAACAUGUCAUUAACUUCAUGGUGACAAUCAGUCUUAAAAUUAAUAAUUUAGCUAAUUUGCAUAAUGUUGUGUUUACACUUACCAAAUUUCAAGACAGACUAAAAGCUGGAUAAACUUUAUUUUUAGAAAAUACAAUAGUCAUUGACAGAAGAGGUCGUCACGUGCUCAAACAAACAGUCUCCUCUUAAAAUUGGCAGAAUAAAUGGUCAAUAGCACUGCAGGUAAAGAUCUGAAGUUUAUAAAUUUGUAACACAGAGAUGUGCCCUUUUUUGGUAAAAUAUGUUAAUCUAAUUUGAAAUUAUGUGUAUGAGACUAAAGUCGUGCCACUUUA